This 1103-nucleotide long non-coding RNA is filed under the name Equus asinus (donkey). Its description in RNAcentral is "lncRNA (ENSEASG00005038469.1)". The record is from RNAcentral. Lineage: Eukaryota; Metazoa; Chordata; Mammalia; Perissodactyla; Equidae.
CCAAGGAAGCCACCAGAAGCUGGAAGAGGUAGCUCGGUGAAUGCUUAUUGAAUUGGACCACGGAAACAGUUCAAAGUCUGACGAGCGGUGACCAUAGAUCACAAGCCUGGAAUGAUCCGAGAGCGUGCAGAGGAUGCUGUGGCAAGUCACUCCUUUUCAAAGCGGCCAGGGCAGACUGAAAUCACCCAUGAGGCUCUUCUGUAGGACUGAGAAGAAGAAUCAGGGGCCCCGUCCUCAUUUAGGGGGCUGUAGACACGGCCUGGGAAAUUCAGAGCAACCAAAUGUUUUCAGCUGUCUUCUAAUCAAAACGUGGCCAUGGAAACGGAGACAGAUUCUUAGAAAUUCUGAAACGGAGAAACUAGGAAUAAGUCUGAGGCCCUUCUAGCAUUCCCUUUUGUCAUUCUAUUUUUAAUUUACUUUUUAAAUAAAUUCAUUAUUAAAAUAUACAAAGGCAUGCAAUGAGGUCUCCCUCCCCAUGACCUAUUCGUGCAUUGACCAAGUAUUUGUUGUUGCCUCCGCCUGUUGGGUUCUCAGUGCUUGAGGCGUUUCAGGAAGCGAAACAGACAAAACAACUGUCUUCAUGACUCUCACUUCGACCUGGCUGAGGAGUCAAGGUGAGCGUCUUUGAGAAGGGGAGGCUUGAGCAGACUUGAAGUGAAGGAAGUUAGCCAAACAGCUAACCACCCCACCACUGUGUUAGACUUUUCUGAAUCCUUCUAGAGUUUCUUUAUGGCUACGGCAGCAGAUUUGAACUUAUAUUCUUAUUUACUCUUCUUUUUAAUACAAAAGACAAUGUAUUAUAUGGCAUUUGCUUUUUUUAUUUAAUAUAUCCUGGAGGUUUUUGUCAGAUAACUUUCUUUACCUGGAAUUUUCCUUAUUUAUUUGUUCUUGUACUACUGACUAGAGUGUCAUAUUUGUGUAAAUAUACAAUGAUUUAUUUAACUGUUUCCCUCUGAUGGACAUUUAGUUUGUUUUCAACCCUUCACUCUUCUGAAAAAUGUGGUAGUGCCUAACUUUGUACAAAUAUCAUUUGAAUCUCUCUGGUAAUUUCCUACAAGAGGAUUUUCUGGGUCAAAGUUAUAUGAGUGAGUGAUCUUAACAAA